UUAAUUAAAACCAAAAAGAGGUAAAUCACUGUUAAUGAUUAAACUAGUAAUUUAAUACUUAAUUAAA
Molecule: transfer RNA, 67 nt
Filed under: Scolytinae sp. BMNH 1040146
Lineage: Eukaryota; Metazoa; Arthropoda; Insecta; Coleoptera; Curculionidae
Description: tRNA-Asn
Source: RNAcentral